RNAcentral lists this ribosomal RNA (255 nucleotides) under uncultured bacterium. RNAcentral describes it as "partial 16S ribosomal RNA". It matches the Rfam family "Bacterial small subunit ribosomal RNA", at positions 524 to 776 of the family's 1533-position model. The record is from RNAcentral.
UACGGGGGGAGCAAGCGUUGUUCGGAUUUACUGGGCGUAAAGGGCGCGUUAGGCGGUCGUGACAAGUCACUUGUGAAAUCUCCGGGCUUAACUCGGAAAGGUCAAGUGAUACUGUCGGACUAGAGUACAGAAGGGGCAACUGGAAUUCUCGGUGUAGCGGUGAAAUGCGUAGAUAUCGAGAGGAACACCUGCGGCGAAGGCGGGUUGCUGGGCUGAUACUGACGCUGAGGCGCGAAAGCUAGGGGAGCGAACGGG